This 426-nucleotide ribosomal RNA is filed under the name uncultured bacterium. Its description in RNAcentral is "bacterial SSU rRNA". It matches the Rfam family "Bacterial small subunit ribosomal RNA", at positions 34 to 507 of the family's 1533-position model. The record is from RNAcentral.
CGCUGGCGGCAUGCCUAACACAUGCAAGUCGAACGAGACCUUCGGGUCUAGUGGCGCACGGGUGCGUAACGCGUGGGAACCUGCCUUUAGGUUCGGAAUAACUCAGAGAAAUUUGAGCUAAUACCGGAUAAUGUCUUCGGACCAAAGAUUUAUCGCCUUUAGAUGGGCCCGCGUUGGAUUAGCUAGUUGGUGGGGUAAAGGCCUACCAAGGCGACGAUCCAUAGCUGGUCUGAGAGGAUGAUCAGCCACACUGGGACUGAGACACGGCCCAGACUCCUACGGGAGGCAGCAGUGGGGAAUAUUGGACAAUGGGCGAAAGCCUGAUCCAGCAAUGCCGCGUGAGUGAUGAAGGCCUUAGGGUUGUAAAGCUCUUUACCCGAGAUGAUAAUGACAGUAUCGGGAGAAUAAGCUCCGGCUAACUCCGUG